RNAcentral lists this transfer RNA (72 nucleotides) under Camelus bactrianus (Bactrian camel). It matches the Rfam family "tRNA". Rfam says of the family: Transfer RNA (tRNA) molecules are approximately 80 nucleotides in length. Their secondary structure includes four short double-helical elements and three loops (D, anti-codon, and T loops). The record is from Rfam by way of RNAcentral. RNAcentral also lists the same sequence under 3 other names. Lineage: Eukaryota; Metazoa; Chordata; Mammalia; Artiodactyla; Camelidae.
GAGGGUAUAGCUCAGUGGUAGAGUGCAUGCCUAGUAUGUACAAGGUCCUGGGUUCAGUCCCCAGUGCUGUCA